Non-coding RNA from Salmo salar (Atlantic salmon), 3900 nucleotides. The record is from RefSeq and is a predicted model, not a curated record. NCBI's taxonomy places the organism in Eukaryota, Metazoa, Chordata, Actinopteri, Salmoniformes, Salmonidae.
UCCAAUGAAAACUGGAGGAAUUACGAGGUUCCUCCAAUCCCGAUCUGCCUGGAGAAUCCAUGCAUGGGGAGAGUGAGGGGCGGCUAGGCUGGUCAUGGCAUUUUACUAGUGGAAAAAACGGCAGGACAAGGAACGCAACAUUUUUGACUGUUGGGGUAGUUUUGGUGAUUUUACGUCACUGAAAGUAACCUUGAGCUACUUAUUUAGGAAGUGAAUUGAUUUGCUGGAGAGACACGAUUGUUAUUGUAUCGGAACUGAAAGCCAGCCUACUUGCUUGAGCAAUAGAUACAAAGUUUACACCUCCUAGCCCACUGGAUAAUUGUGUGACACACGGAUCUGGGACGACUACUCGCUGCAAUGGACCACUGGAUUUAAGGAGUUUGGGACGCGUUUUGGGUUUUGGAUUAACAAUUAGGUUCGUACCCUUCCGUCUGGUGUGAAAACGGAUAGUCGCCAGUCAUGCCAGCGAAAACAAAGUACAAUCUUGUUGAUGAUGGCCAUGAUUUGAGAAUUCCAAUGCAUAACGAGGAAGCAUUCCAACAUGGGAUCAACUUCGAAGCAAAGAAAAAAAGUUCUGGGAACGUUCUGGAAAUGUUGCAUAUCUAAGGCCGUAUUGGAUCAAACUGCUGAAAGAGAAGAUAAAGUGUGUGUGGAGCUUGCUUGGACAGUUUCCCCACCUGCACCAUCUCCAUUUUGUCCAGAAGUAUACUAGUUAAAGAUGGAGCAAUUGUGGGACACCACCACUUGUGAACACCUACUCAACCUCUAAGGUCUAAAUCAGUCCCUGAUUAGAGAAAAACAUUUAUUUUUUUUUGUAGUGGAACUGGCUUCGAGGUUCAGAGUUGAGUUUGAGGGGUCUAUGGGUUGAUUUAGGAUUGGACCAUACUUUUGGAAUCAGAACUUUCAACUAAAGUGUGACAUACAUUAGACGUCUGUUAUGGUUAACGUGAUUCAGUUUGUCUCACAGAAGUUUCUCUAAGCUCAACUGGAAGUGUCACAGAGCAGAGGUACAGUAAAUGGCCUACAGUAACUUGAUAGUAUUUAAAAACAUUGAAUCAUUCACAUCGAAACAGUGGACCUUAUUUUGUAUUGUCACAUUUUAGAUCCUGAACUUUCAAAUGAACUCAGAUGUCUGUUAAUGUUAACGUGAUUCAUUUUGUCUCAGACAUCACUCCACCCAACCGUACCACAAGACAGCAGAUGUAUGGCUUACAGUAACUUAAUAUAUUUAAAAACAUUGAAUCAUUCACAUCAACACAAUAGACCUUGUUUUGUGGCGUCAACAAUGAAGUGUGACAUACAGUACAUUAGGCGUCUGUUAACAGACAUCUCUCCACCCAACCGUACUGCAACAGUCCCAGUCUCUCCACUUGUCCCGCAGUCUCCCCAAUCAGAAGAGUAGGACCUGCCCUCUGUGAGAUUCACAGAAUGCCGAUGUUUCCAGCACCAGAGCUGUCUCUCCGCUGUCCAAUGAUGGAUUCCAAAUGAUCGUGCUGAUGAAGCUGGAAACAAUUAUCGAGAACUAGUUGGAACUCCUAGCAAUUCAGCGAUAGCUGCUAGCCGCUGGAGCACAAGAUCUGCCAGACAAAGUCCUGCCUAGACCUUGUACGACCAAGGAGGAUUUGGAGGACCUCUGCAAGAGUCUGGAGGAGGCCACCACAUAGCGGAAAGAGAUGGUUGCAGAGAGGGUUGAAGAGGAGGUUGUGGAGGAGUGAGCCUUUGACUCCCCUGUACCAUAGACGGUGGUCAGACAAGACAAUUAUGAAAUCCGUGUGUGCCAAUCAGAUUGCAGAGAUGUCUGAAUUGUUAGGAAAAAUUAUAAAUGUGUUAACUGUUAAUAUAUUUUAUUUCGUAAGAUUUUAUUACUUUUUUUCAAACAAUACAAAAUAUGCACAUACCAACGACAGCAUACAGACGCACACAAACAUCAAUGACAUAACACCUGGCCAGACCCACCUGCUCACACCCCAUCCAUCUUCAGCGCCCGCAUCACUCUCCGCCACAUGGCCUCAAACUGUACCAUUUUGUUUUACUCUGUCACCAACGCAUUUUCAACAUUUUAGAUAAUAUAGUAUUUGUCUUUUGCAUUUUGUUAGUGAUGGAGGAUUGGUUGAUUUCCAGUUAAGUGUGCAUUUUUUUCAAGAUGAUUGAUAUGCCAUGUCUUGAAAUAUGCAGACAGACGAAUUAAACUUACAUUUACAUUGUGACACUUCUGACAGACAACUUUCUAACUCUGCUCAUAACUUUUGGACUUAGUAGCAUUCGCAGAAGGCAUGGGUUAUUCUUAGUUUUACGCAUAAGACAUGACUCCGCCGUUGUGCUGUAGUAUGUGAUUUUUCUCUUGUAUAAUACAUUCUAUACAUUAGUUUAUACUGGAUUAAGUGUACAUUUUUGUUAUUGGUGUCGCUAUACCGGGAGGUUGAGAUAAUGUAUGCUAAUGUAAUUAGCAUGACAUUGUAAGUAACAGCAAACUUUCCAGGACAUAGCCAUUUCUUAUAUGGGCAGAAAGCGUAAAUUCUUGUUAAUCUAACUUCACUGUCCAAUUUACAGUAGCUAUUACAGUGAAAAAAUAGCAUGCUAUUGUUUGAGGAGAGUGCACAACAACAAAAAACUUUUAUCACGGAACUGGUUUGAUAUAUUCCCCUCUGAAGGUAAAUAAUGUACUUACAUUCAGUAGUCUUGCUCUGAUUUGUCAUCCUGAGGGUCACAGAGAUAAAAUGUAGCAUAGUUUUGUUUGAUUAAAUCCAUUUUUAUAUUCAAAUGUAGGAACUGGGUUCUACAGUUUGAACCCCUGCUGUCUCUGGCUCCACACCCACCCUGCCUGGCCAACUAGAUGUGUAAAAGUUAGUGUAUAAGCUAAUGAUCCAUCACGUAUGACAUUCCUGGGAGUGUAUAAACCUAGAUUUUGCAUUAUCAUAUCAUUUUGUAUGUUCUCUAUAGUUAUGUAUUUGAAAAUGUAUCGAUUGACCAAUUCGGCACAUUUGUGCAUACUUGCAAUGCUUCACUGGAUCAAUCUGAAACUUUGCAAACACACUACUGUGUGUAUAGAAAACACAUUUUUUGUUGUUGUAUUAUCUUACCAGAUCUAAUGUGUUAUUCUCCUACAUUAAUUUCAAAUUUCCACAAACUUCAAAGUGUUUCCUUGCAAAUGGUAUUAAGAAUAUGCACAGUCCCCAAAUCCAGAACAAAUUCAAGAAAGCGUACAGUAUUAUAUAGAGGCCUUAUUGCAUGGAACUUCCUUCCAUCUCAUAUUGCUCAAAUAAACGGCAAUCCUGGAUUCAAAAAGCAGAGAAAGCAACACCUCACGGCACAACGCCUCUCCUCUAUUUGACCUAAAUAGUUUGUGUAUGCAUUGAUAUGUAGGCUACGUGUGUCUUUUAAAAUGUAUUUAUGUAGUUCUGUUCUUGUCUAUUGAUGUUCUGUAUUAUGUCAUUCUGUAUUAUGUUUUGUGUGGACCCCAGGAAGAGUAGCUACUGCUUUUGCAACAGCUAAUGGGGAUCCUAAUAAAAUAGCAAAAAAUGCCAAAUAUCCUUGCUUCAGGUCCUGAGCUACAGGCAGUUAGAUUUGGGUAUGUUAUUUUAGGCGAAAAUUGAAAAAGGGUUCGAUCCUUCGUUAGUGAUGUUCCAACAUUCCCUCCAUCAUGUGCCAAUAUCACUUAUUUUUAAGUCUUGGAGGGCUUAAAACUUUCCAUUUGAUUCUGAGUUGUAUUUGCCCAUAUAAAGUCAGUUAUGACUGAGUAUACUGUACUAUAAAAAAAUGUCUUCAGUGGGGUAAUUGGUAUUACUGAGAAUAAAUAUAAGAACAAAUUGUUUAUAUUUAAUUGUGCCAGCCUGUGUGUGUGUGCUAAUCUGAUUGCAGAUUUCUCCGAACCCAUUUUAUAAAACAAAUUGAUAACAGAAA